This 393-nucleotide ribosomal RNA is filed under the name uncultured bacterium. RNAcentral's name for it is "partial 16S ribosomal RNA". It matches the Rfam family "Bacterial small subunit ribosomal RNA", at positions 523 to 918 of the family's 1533-position model. The record is from RNAcentral.
AUACGUAGGGGGCGAGCGUUGUCCGGAAUGACUGGGCGUAAAGGGCGUGUAGGCGGCGGUGUAAGUCUGGAGUGAAAGUCCCGCAUUCAAUGUGGGAAUUGCUUUGGAUACUGCAGUGCUAGAGUGCGGAAGAGGUAAGUGGAAUUCCCAGUGUAGCGGUGAAAUGCGUAGAGAUUGGGAGGAAUACCAGUGGCGAAGGCGACUUACUGGACUGUAACUGACGCUGAGGCGCGAAAGUGUGGGGAGCAAACAGGAUUAGAUACCCUGGUAGUCCACGCAGUAAACGAUGAUGGCUAACCGCUGGGCUUAUCAGUUCAGUGGCCAAGCGAAAGCGAUAAGCCAUCCACCUGGGGAGUACGACCGCAAGGUUGAAACUCAAAUGAAUUGACGGGG